UGGCGCACGGAUGAGUAACGCGUGGGUAAUCUACCUUCGAAUUGGGGAUAACGUUGCGAAAGCGACGCUAAUACCGAAUAACAUCUAUUAAUCUUCGGGUUUUUGGAUCAAGGGUGGCCUCUACAUGUAAGCUUCCGUUUGAGGAUGAGCUCGCGUACCAUUAGCUUGUUGGUAGGGUAAUGGCCUACCAAGGCUACGAUGGUUAGCUGGUCUGAGAGGAUGAUCAGCCACACUGGAACUGACACACGGUCCAGACUCCUACGGGAGGCAGCAGUGAGGAAUUUUGCGCAAUGGGGGAAACCCUGACGCAGCAACGCCGCGUGAGUGAUGAAGGCUUUCGGGUCGUAAAGCUCUGUCAAGUGGGAAGAAAAUACAAAUUGAUAAUAUCCUUUUUGUACUGACGGUACCACUGAAGGAAGCACCGGCUAACUCCGUGCCAGCAGCCGCGGUAAUACGGGGGGUGCAAGCGUUAUUCGGAUUUACUGGGGCGUAAAGAGGCGCGUAGGCGGUUUUCUUAAGUCAGAUGUGAAAGCCCGGGGCUUAACCCCCGGAAGUGCAUUCUGAAACUGGANGGACUUGAGUAUGGGAGAAGGGAAGUGGGAAUUCCUGGUGUAGGCGGUGGAAAUGCGUAGAUAUCAGGAGGAACACCUGGUGGGCGAAAGGCGACUUCCUGGACCAAUACUGACGCUGAGGCGCGAAGGCGUGGGGAGCAAACAGGAUUAGAUACCCUGGUAGUCCACGCAGUAAACGGUGAUCACUAGGUGUAGC
This 768-nucleotide ribosomal RNA is filed under the name uncultured delta proteobacterium. Its description in RNAcentral is "bacterial SSU rRNA". It matches the Rfam family "Bacterial small subunit ribosomal RNA", at positions 96 to 826 of the family's 1533-position model. Lineage: Bacteria; Deltaproteobacteria. The record is from RNAcentral.